GAGGGUACGGCUCAGGGGUAGAGCGCAUACUUAGCAGGCACAAGGUCCUGGGUUCGAUCCCCAGUACCUCCA
Molecule: transfer RNA, 72 nt
Filed under: Camelus bactrianus (Bactrian camel)
Lineage: Eukaryota; Metazoa; Chordata; Mammalia; Artiodactyla; Camelidae
Also listed under: 1 other name
Rfam family: tRNA
About the family: Transfer RNA (tRNA) molecules are approximately 80 nucleotides in length. Their secondary structure includes four short double-helical elements and three loops (D, anti-codon, and T loops).
Source: Rfam by way of RNAcentral